CAGAGCGUAGCUAAGUAGUAUAGCAUCUCCCUUACACCGAGAAGGCACCCGUGCGAGCCGGGUCGCACUGA
This 71-nucleotide transfer RNA is filed under the name Favonigobius sp. CBM:ZF:19142. RNAcentral's name for it is "tRNA-Val". It matches the Rfam family "tRNA". From Rfam's summary of the family: Transfer RNA (tRNA) molecules are approximately 80 nucleotides in length. Their secondary structure includes four short double-helical elements and three loops (D, anti-codon, and T loops). Further hydrogen bonds mediate the characteristic L-shaped molecular structure. tRNAs have two regions of fundamental functional importance: the anti-codon, which is responsible for specific mRNA codon recognition, and the 3' end, to which the tRNAs corresponding amino acid is attached (by aminoacyl-tRNA synthetases). tRNAs cope with the degeneracy of the genetic code in two manners: having more than one tRNA (with a specific anti-codon) for a particular amino acid; and 'wobble' base-pairing, i.e. permitting non-standard base-pairing at the 3rd anti-codon position. The record is from RNAcentral. Lineage: Eukaryota; Metazoa; Chordata; Actinopteri; Gobiiformes; Gobiidae.